CACUUUCAGUGGGGAGAAAGAGGCCAUUAAUAAUACUAAUGGCGGAUGAUGUUACCCACAGAAGAAGCACCGGCUAACUCUGUGC
Molecule: ribosomal RNA, 85 nt
Filed under: uncultured bacterium
Lineage: Bacteria
Description: partial 16S ribosomal RNA
Source: RNAcentral